Molecule: ribosomal RNA, 1120 nt
Filed under: Bacillus aerius
Lineage: Bacteria; Bacillati; Bacillota; Bacilli; Caryophanales; Bacillaceae
Description: bacterial SSU rRNA
Rfam family: Bacterial small subunit ribosomal RNA
Source: RNAcentral
UUUGACAAGUCGAGCGGACAGAAGGGAGCUUGCUCCCGGAUGUUAGCGGCGGACGGGUGAGUAACACGUGGGUAACCUGCCUGUAAGACUGGGAUAACUCCGGGAAACCGGAGCUAAUACCGGAUAGUUCCUUGAACCGCAUGGUUCAAGGAUGAAAGACGGUUUCGGCUGUCACUUACAGAUGGACCCGCGGCGCAUUAGCUAGUUGGUGAGGUAACGGCUCACCAAGGCGACGAUGCGUAGCCGACCUGAGAGGGUGAUCGGCCACACUGGGACUGAGACACGGCCCAGACUCCUACGGGAGGCAGCAGUAGGGAAUCUUCCGCAAUGGACGAAAGUCUGACGGAGCAACGCCGCGUGAGUGAUGAAGGUUUUCGGAUCGUAAAGCUCUGUUGUUAGGGAAGAACAAGUGCAAGAGUAACUGCUUGCACCUUGACGGUACCUAACCAGAAAGCCACGGCUAACUACGUGCCAGCAGCCGCGGUAAUACGUAGGUGGCAAGCGUUGUCCGGAAUUAUUGGGCGUAAAGGGCUCGCAGGCGGUUUCUUAAGUCUGAUGUGAAAGCCCCCGGCUCAACCGGGGAGGGUCAUUGGAAACUGGGAAACUUGAGUGCAGAAGAGGAGAGUGGAAUUCCACGUGUAGCGGUGAAAUGCGUAGAGAUGUGGAGGAACACCAGUGGCGAAGGCGACUCUCUGGUCUGUAACUGACGCUGAGGAGCGAAAGCGUGGGGAGCGAACAGGAUUAGAUACCCUGGUAGUCCACGCCGUAAACGAUGAGUGCUAAGUGUUAGGGGGUUUCCGCCCCUUAGUGCUGCAGCUAACGCAUUAAGCACUCCGCCUGGGGAGUACGGUCGCAAGACUGAAACUCAAAGGAAUUGACGGGGGCCCGCACAAGCGGUGGAGCAUGUGGUUUAAUUCGAAGCAACGCGAAGAACCUUACCAGGUCUUGACAUCCUCUGACAACCCUAGAGAUAGGGCUUUCCCUUCGGGACAGAGUGACAGUGGUGCAUGGUUGUCGUCAGCUCGUGUCGUGAGAUGUUGGGUUAAGUCCCGCAACGAGCGCAACCCUUGAUCUUAGUUGCCAGCAUUCAGUUGGGCACUCUAAGUGACUGCCGGUGACA